This is a long non-coding RNA of Trichoplusia ni (cabbage looper), 683 nucleotides long. RefSeq lists it as uncharacterized. The transcript has 2 exons. The record is from RefSeq and is a predicted model, not a curated record. NCBI's taxonomy places the organism in Eukaryota, Metazoa, Arthropoda, Insecta, Lepidoptera, Noctuidae.
AAUUCAAAAUUAUUUGUCAUAUUGUGCCUCAUAAACACACUGCCGGGUGCUACUCUUUGUAAAUUGAAGCUCUGUCUUUAUUUGAUCUAUACUAAAUUACUUUUAAAACUUACGACCAAAGCAAAGCAAAUUGUCCGAAAUAAUAUGAAACAAAUUGGUACUUUUCAAUCGAUACCUCAUUUUUUAAUUUCCACACGGGUUUUGUCAAUGGUAUUUUAUUCUCUUUGGCUCAAUUUUUAUGUCAUCUGUUUGUCAAAUAUCACCUUCAAAUAUGUAGUCAAAAUAAAGCUCUUAUUUUAAUCGAAAUAAAUAAAUCAAAUUGGCCAUAAUGAAAACGGGCCCGGGGGCAUAAGUUAUGGACGGAACAAUAUAAGAUGGGUUGCUGUCACGGCUGCACCGAUGACAGUUGGGAAGUGUUCUACGAUGAUCACAAAGUACAUGCGUUCCUGGCUGGAUUAGUGUUCAUUACUCUCCUACUGGCGUACAAGCUGUUCAGGUGCAAAUACCCCAUGGCCGCUGGCGCUGGCGCUGCGAGGCGGCGCGGGACCUGGAUCAAUACGAGAUAUUUCUCGUUCUAGAUUGCUUUGGAAAUAAGCGUCCUUGGCUACUCGCAACAGGUUUUCACUAUUCUUUUCACCAGUUUCUCUCACCAUGGAAGAGAAUUGACUGUUGGGGUCGGAGAG